UACGGAGGGUGCAAGCGUUGUUCGGAUUUACUGGGCGUAAAGCGCGCGUAGGCGGAUUGUUAAGUCAGGGGUGAAAUCCUGGAGCUCAACUCCAGAACUGCCUUUGAUACUGGCGAUCUUGAGUCCGGGAGAGGUGAGUGGAACUCCGAGUGUAGAGGUGAAAUUCGUAGAUAUUCGGAAGAACACCAGUGGCAAAGGCGGCUCACUGGCCCGGUACUGACGCUGAGGUGCGAAAGCGUGGGGAGCAAACAGG
This 253-nucleotide ribosomal RNA is filed under the name uncultured bacterium. Its description in RNAcentral is "partial 16S ribosomal RNA". It matches the Rfam family "Bacterial small subunit ribosomal RNA", at positions 524 to 776 of the family's 1533-position model. The record is from RNAcentral.